Cronobacter sakazakii ATCC BAA-894 is the source of this 185-nucleotide regulatory RNA element. NCBI's taxonomy places the organism in Bacteria, Pseudomonadati, Pseudomonadota, Gammaproteobacteria, Enterobacterales, Enterobacteriaceae. The record is from Rfam.
AUGUAGCAUGCCGUUUCCGGUCUCCUGUGAGUGAAAAGGGAAUCCAGUGCGAAUCUGGAGCUGACGCGCAGCGGUAAAGACAGGUGGGAUGAACGCGUUCGCAGACACUGCCGGCCCGCCGGUGGGAAGUCCUCAUCCGUAACACACCUCCAAGCCCGAAGACCUGCCGGAGUCACGUCGCAUCU